AGGUACAUGGUACUUGGUACCUGGAUGGGACCCACAACAUCUACCUCCCCCUGCCCCACCCUUCUUGACAUGGUGGGGGUCGUUGGUUCGAGUCCAAUCGCGCCUACCA
This 109-nucleotide transfer RNA is filed under the name Pseudomonas sp. FP1742. RNAcentral describes it as "tRNA-OTHER". Lineage: Bacteria; Pseudomonadati; Pseudomonadota; Gammaproteobacteria; Pseudomonadales; Pseudomonadaceae. The record is from RNAcentral.